Molecule: non-coding RNA, 393 nt
Organism: Protopterus annectens (West African lungfish)
Lineage: Eukaryota; Metazoa; Chordata; Ceratodontiformes; Protopteridae
Source: the annotation of a RefSeq genome assembly
UGAUAUGUAACAGACCAGAAGAUGACAUGUUCAGAAAAACCUGAAGCAACAAUGAAGAAAUAUUAUCUUCUCAGUGUUCUUUUUGCUGCCUGCAUUGAUGUGCUGUGCCAAGAAGCAGUAACACAGACAAGGGAGAUGUUUGCAAAAGAAGGAGAAGCCACACAUUUCUACUGCAGUCCUAAGCAGGGUGAUCAGAAUGUCUACUGGUACAAACAGCUACCUAAUCAAGGACCCAAAUUUGUGAUGAAUGCACUUGAUAGUUCCAAUUCUAAAGGUAAAUUCAAUCUGACAAAAAACAACAGCACCUCCUGGACGUUCAGCAUCAGUAAAGUAACAGUGCAAGAUGAAGCAUUGCACUUCUGUGCAUCGAGUACACAGUGUUAGAGAUGAAUG